RNAcentral lists this ribosomal RNA (280 nucleotides) under uncultured cyanobacterium. Its description in RNAcentral is "partial 16S ribosomal RNA". It matches the Rfam family "Bacterial small subunit ribosomal RNA", at positions 338 to 633 of the family's 1533-position model. Lineage: Bacteria; Bacillati; Cyanobacteriota. The record is from RNAcentral.
CCUACGGGGGGCAGCAGUGGGGAAUUUUCCGCAAUGGGCGAAAGCCUGACGGAGCAACGCCGCGUGAGGGAUGAAGGCCUCUGGGCUGUAAACCUCUUUUCUCAAGGAAGAAGAUCUGACGGUACUUGAGGAAUAAGCCACGGCUAAUUCCGUGCCAGCAGCCGCGGUAAUACGGGAGUGGCAAGCGUUAUCCGGAAUCAUUGGGCGUAAAGCGUCCGCAGGCGGCCUUGUAAGUCUGCCGUUAAAGCGUGGAGCUUAACUCCAUUUCAGCGGUGGAAAC